UUACUAUUUGCGCAAAUUUCCUCGCAUCUACCAAGUAUCACACUGACGGUACGCUCAAUAUCGAUCUCAUCAUCAUCAUAGUCAUCAGAAUCACUGAGAUUCGAACUUCUGAUUCUGCGGUCCACCUCCAAGCUUGAGGGACAGUUGAGGAAUCUAUCCAGCGGGAGGUCCAUGAUACGUUUGUCUGUUUGGCGCUUGUUUUAAGGGACAAAAGAUUGGUUAGCUCUUUCCAACUUCCUCCGGAGA
Rhodamnia argentea is the source of this 246-nucleotide long non-coding RNA. RefSeq lists it as uncharacterized. Lineage: Eukaryota; Viridiplantae; Streptophyta; Magnoliopsida; Myrtales; Myrtaceae. The transcript has 3 exons. The record is from RefSeq and is a predicted model, not a curated record.